UACGUAGGGUGCAGGCGUUAUUCGGAAUUACUGGGCGUAAAGCGCACGCAGGUGGCUGAGUCAGUCGAUUGUGAAAGCCCUGGGCUUAACCUGGGAAUUGCAGUCGAUACUACUCGGCUCGAGUAUGGGAGAGGGCAGUGGAAUUCCCGGUGUAGCGGUGAAAUACGUAGAGAUUGGGAAGAACACCAGUGGCGAAGGCGGCUAUCUGGACGGUUUCUGACACUAAGACGCGAAAGCGUGGGGAGCAAACAGG
RNAcentral lists this ribosomal RNA (253 nucleotides) under uncultured bacterium. RNAcentral's name for it is "partial 16S ribosomal RNA". It matches the Rfam family "Bacterial small subunit ribosomal RNA", at positions 524 to 776 of the family's 1533-position model. The record is from RNAcentral.